This is a long non-coding RNA of Spinacia oleracea (spinach), 959 nucleotides long. RefSeq lists it as uncharacterized. Lineage: Eukaryota; Viridiplantae; Streptophyta; Magnoliopsida; Caryophyllales; Amaranthaceae. The transcript is spliced from 2 exons. The record is from RefSeq and is a predicted model, not a curated record.
UAGUUUAUGCAUGCUAUGCUACUCCGUAUUUUCUUCUAAAACAAAAAUUACGAAGUUCUACUGCUACUUUUUUUGUUAACUUAGUUGAUCUCGAGAAGUGUGCUAUUGUGUUUAGCUUUAUAGGCAUUAUAGCUCUAAGCCUCUAAUUGACUUUUGCAGUUUCUAAUUCAGAUAAAGCUUAUUACUUUUAUUUAAAAACAAAAGAAGAAGGGUCCUCUCCCUGUCUCUUUCCCACUUACGCUUUUUUGCUACUUUAUUUCUCAUCUCACUCAUUCAUUCUUAUCACUAUUCUAUCACUAUUCUAUGUCUUUUCCUCUGAAACUUUCCUACUUUAAGAGGUUUUGCAUCAUAUGGAAAAAUCCCCCUUUAAAAGAAAUACAAAUAAAGAUGGCAUACGUAUUGUUGUUGUCUGUUGCUAUGAAGCAACACUAUGAAACACCACAACCACGGACAUAUCAAGAACAGAUAUGGUAAAAUGGAAGCCGACCACAACCAGAGAUGGUGUUACAGAAGACAGAGACCGGGGAAAGCUCUUCGGCAAUCUCUGUCACAAAUAAUGUGACCCGUAACUUUCAAUUUUCUCUCACUCAGAAAUUGGGGUUUGUACUAAAAUUGGGGAUUUUGAUUUACUGUCUCAUUUGAAGCGAUUUCAUGUAAUUAAUUGAGGAAAUUUGGUCUAAUUAGCAUUAUUAAGCAAGGGACUAAGGAGAAGUAGAAAGCUUGAUAAAGGCGAGAUGGAUCUACGCGUGGGAAAUGGAGCACGGAUUGCUGCAUUAGCCGUAGGAUCUUAUUUUAUUUCUUUGCCUAGUGGUUUUGUUUUGGAACUAGAAAACUGUUACUAUGUUCCUAGUAUCACCAGAAACAUUAUUUUCGUUUCAAGUUUGGAUUCUAAAGGUUUUAGUUUUCAAUUUAAAGACAAUAGUUGUUGUUUUGCUUUGAAUGGAUUGUUUUAUGGUUCA